Long non-coding RNA from Phyllostomus hastatus (greater spear-nosed bat), 1132 nucleotides. RefSeq lists it as uncharacterized. NCBI's taxonomy places the organism in Eukaryota, Metazoa, Chordata, Mammalia, Chiroptera, Phyllostomidae. The record is from RefSeq and is a predicted model, not a curated record. The transcript is spliced from 2 exons.
CCUUUGUCCGCUGAUUCGCUUCUCUAUCUGUCCGUCAUACCUAGUGGGUGCAAGAGACACAAUUCAGGAAAGAGGAGAGAGAGAAAGAAAACCCAUCAAAUCGGUAGUAGUGAUUGUUGCCGAGAGAUGGACUUAAAGCCCCACCCCCAAGGCCACGGCCAGGCCCCGGCGUACCUGGGAGCAACAGUUCGCUACUGACAGCGUCGUUUCCUGUUACUCCGAGCUGACAGCUGGGAACGAGGAGCACAGCUGAAACCAGCAGGCCUGACCUCCCGCCCCUCGGUGACUCAGCGGGGCGAGCACGGGGUCCUCCUCCCGUCCUCUCCCCGGGACGGAGCCGCCCCCGGGCGGGGAGGCCGGGCGCACAGAAGGUCGACGUGGGUGCCAGGGGAAAGGUGACACAUCCGCCUUCUGCUCCCGGGACGUCCCAGCUGAACAGGCUCUGCCGGGUCACCAGCCCCAGGUCGCCAGCCCCACGUGCGAGUUCGGGACCCAGAGGAGUGGAAGAGGGCUGGGAGUCGACUCAUCCUUUAGUCAAAAACUCUCAUGGGGAGCCACCGUUCUCUCUUAAGAGAAAAGAGCGUUUCGGCAAAGGAAGGCCCUGUUCUCGGAGUAGGGGAAUCGAGGGAGGGCAGGUGUCAGCCGCACACAGACGUCCCCAAACCGUGCUGCAAACGACACACCUGGGGAGUGCGCGUGGAGCCCCCCGAGCAGCCACCCGCGGGUGAGGGUGAACGGGGUGCGGUCUGUUUGCGCUGCACACGGCCCCCCCACCCCCAGCCUCGAAAUCAGGCGUGGACACAGGCUGCGGUGUGGACGAACCCCAAGCCCGCAGUGCGAAGCAGCCAGGCACGGAGGCCUCGGAGUGUGCGAUUCCAUGCACGCAACACGUCCCGAACCGGCCAAUCCACAGACACAGGAAGUAGGUGGGUGGGUCCCAGGGGUGGGGGAGGGGCAGCCGAUGAGACUGCGGCACAAGGCUUCUUUGGAGGGUGACCGGAAUGUUCUGAAAUUAGCCGGUGGCGAUGGUUGCACAACAGGAUGCGUAUACUAAAAACCACUGGAUUGUAAACUUUACAAUGACCAAUUGUAUGUGACGUAAGUCAAUCUAAAUAAAAAAUGCAACUAAAAA